AUGGCGUGUAGCACUGUAACGUUAAUGUAUAAUAAGCUCUCAGACGCAAAGAUGAUGUAGAUCUCAACUAAUGUGGUAAAUUAAUCAUUAAGAAAUACAAUUUGAAUGAAAUACAGUAUAUCGUUGUAAAAUAAAGUGGCCUUGGGCACAGCAGACUGUCACGGGGCCUAAAAAAAACAAUGCUGCGAUAUAUUUUUUUAUUUGAUAAUUUAACAAACUCCUAAUAAUACAGUAGUUUGACAUCUGAGUAAGCACAAUUUUCUCUAAUGUCGCAGUUCACGCGGUUUGAGCGAAGCUGGCUGAGGUGAACUCUACACGGGGCAAUUGUCUCUCGCUUCCCUUGGCACGGAGCGUGCGAUUUUCUCACCAUGUCACGAUUUCUGUAUUUGAUUUGAGACCUCGAUUAAAAAAACAUUGAUUGCAUGAUUUUGCCCGUGGCAGUAACCAUAAAACAUGGCGAAUAUGGCGAAUUUCAAGGAUGAGAAAACAUUAAGCAUUAUGAGACGGUUUUCCAAGGCUGCAUUAUAUGUUAAAACCAUGAAACGAUUAGUCUACAACGCCGACAAUAAUUAAAAUUGUCGACACAUCUUUGUUGUCGAGUGGUCGUUUUCAUCUCAUUUAGACUUAAACAAAUAUAAAUGCAUGUAAUAUCGUGAUUUGACCGCUACGACGCUGUAGCGCUAGAGUGUAAUGCAGCCCUAACAAAUCUGCGAUAGAAGAAGAUGGAUGAAAAAACACAGCGCAGGUUAUGGCGAAGUGCAAAUGAAAGUUUUACAACACUUAAAAACCAAGAAUGCUGUCGUGUGUAAUACAUAAAAGACAGAUAUUGCCUUUCACGGGAGCACAUGGUGCAUGUUGGAGCACUUAGGUGGGAGUGAUUCGGAGUCAUCGGAGAAGAGGACCAAAUCCUCUGAAAGAUGCAGAAAUCCAUGAACAAAAGGGCAAGGACAAAGACAACAUAACCAGAAAAUAUAUUAAUCCCAUCAAAGCUCGUCCAUGAGCCUGUCGUUUCAGGAAGUGAAGUCACAUCUCCUAAAGAGGUUUGUUAAUAAUUUUGUCAAAUUUGUGUCACACGUGUUAUAAUU
Misgurnus anguillicaudatus (oriental weatherfish) is the source of this 1085-nucleotide non-coding RNA. The record is from RefSeq and is a predicted model, not a curated record. NCBI's taxonomy places the organism in Eukaryota, Metazoa, Chordata, Actinopteri, Cypriniformes, Cobitidae.